Molecule: RNA transcript, 2733 nt
Organism: Sus scrofa (pig)
Lineage: Eukaryota; Metazoa; Chordata; Mammalia; Artiodactyla; Suidae
Gene: TCF25
Gene name: transcription factor 25
Source: RefSeq, a predicted model, not a curated record
GGAGAGCGGCACCGCGCAGACGCGACGCGCCAGCCUCGCGCCACCGCGCUGUAAGUGCGCAGGCGCGCCGGCCGCUCUCUUUUCUGCUCUUCCUUCUGCCGGUCUCCAGACGUCAGCGGCUGUUGGGUCCUAUGUCGCGCCGGGCCCUCCGGAGGCUGAGGGGGGAACAGCGCGGCCAGGAGCCCCUUGGGCCCGGCGCCCUGCAGUUUGUCCUCCAUGAUGACGAUGAUGCAGAAGAAGAAUGCCCACAGCAGGGGCCAGGUGGCCGGCGUGCCCGGGGCACAGGGAAGGAGGGCGUCCGCGUCAACAACCGGUUCGAGCUGAUCAACAUCGAGGACCUGGACGAGGGCCCGGUGGUCAACGGGGGCAGGACCGACUGUCCACUCACGGACACUGUGGCCUCGGGGAGCAAGAGGAGGCCCCAGGGCGGACGCACGGCGACCAAGCGGGAUGGCAACGUGGCUGACAGGGCAGUGCCCCCCGAGCAGUCUAGUGCGAGCGGCAAACUCCGCAAGAAGAAAAGGAAACAGAAAAACAAGAAGAACGCUGCCGGAGAAACGUCGGAGGACGGGCUGGAGGACAUCGGCCGCAUCCUGGAGAGGAUCGAGGACGGCAGCGGCUCCCGCCGCCCGGGCCCGCCCCCGCUGAGCUCCAGGAAGCACGUGCUGUACGUGGAGCACAGACACUUGAAUCCGGACACAGAACUGAAGAGGUACUUCGGUGCCCGGGCUGUCCUGGGGGAGCAGAGGCCGCGGCAGAGGCAGCGCGUGUACCCCAAGUCUUCGUGGCUGACCACCCCCAAGAGCACGUGGCCGCGCUACAGCAAACCAGGUCUGUCCAUGCGGCUGCUGGAGUCCAAGAAGGGCCGCUCCUGCUUUGCCUUCGAGCACAACGAGGAGUACCAGCAAACGCAGCACAAGUUCCUGGCCGCGGUGGAGUCCAUGGAGCCCAACAACAUUGUGGUUCUGCUGCAGACGAGCCCCUAUCACGUGGAUUCGCUCCUGCAGCUCAGCGAUGCCUGCCGCUUUCAGGAGGACCAGGAGAUGGCCCGGGACCUUGUAGAGCGUGCGCUGCACAGCAUGGAGUGUGCCUUCCACCCCCUGUUCAGCCUCACCAGCGGGACCUGCCGGCUGGACUACCGCAGGCCUGAGAACAGGAGCUUCUACCUGGCCCUCUACAAGCAGAUGACCUUCCUGGAGAAGCGGGGCUGCCCACGCACGGCGCUUGAGUACUGCAAGCUCAUCCUCAGCCUGGAGCCAGACGAGGACCCGCUCUGCAUGUUGCUGCUGGUCGACCAUCUGGCCUUGCGGGCGCGGAGCUACGAGUACCUGAUCCGCCUCUUUCAGGAGUGGGAGGCCCAUCGGAACCUGUCUCAGCUCCCAAAUUUUGCCUUCUCCGUGCCGCUGGCGUACUUCCUGCUGAGUCAGCAGGCGGAGCUCCCCGAGCAGGAGCUGAGCUCGGCGAGGGAGCAGGCCUCGGUCCUGGUCCAGCAGGCCCUCCUCAUGUUCCCCGGAGUUCUCAUGCCUCUGCUCGAGUACUGCAGCGUGCGGCCCGACGCCGCCGUGGCCAGCCACCGCUUCUUUGGGCCCGACGCGGAGAUAAGUCAGCCCCCGGCCCUGAGCCAGCUGGUGAGCCUGUACCUCGGGAGGUCGCACUUUCUCUGGAAGGAGCCGGCCACCAUGAGCUGGCUGGAGGAGAACGUCCGGAAGGUGCUGCAGGCGGUGGACGCCGGGGACCCCGCAGUGGAGGCCUGCGAGAGCAGGCGCAAGGUGCUGUACCAGCGCGCGCCCAGAAACAUCCACCGCCACGUGGUUCUCUCCGAGAUUAAGGAAGCUGUGGCCGCCCUGCCUCCGGUAAGGCCAGCCGGUCACACGUGGGCCGUUCUGCCUGCAGCCCUGCCCUUCGGGUGGGGGUCACGUGGGGGGCCCUUCACUUGCAGACACUUGGCUUUCCACGACCUGGGGGGCUCGGAGCAGUGCCCCUCGGCAGCCCUGAGAGAGACGGCCAUCGUGGAUGGAAGGCCCAUGAUACCCACGCGCCCCCGGGCUCACAGGAGGCCUCCGGGCAGGGCAAGCCUCCUGGUGGAGGAAGCGUUGUCCUGCCGCUCACCCCGGGUUUCCAGCACGCUGAGCCCAGGCUCGCAGACAAGGCCACUCUGCCAAACUGCGGGUCCCGGGGGGAGGUCCGUCCAGGGCGGAGGGGCUCAGGGCCCCUCUCUGUUCUCUGCCCCUUUCCGAAGGAUGUGACCACACAGUCCGUGCUGGGCUUCGACCCCCUGCCUCCCCUGGACACCAUCUACUCCUACGUCAGGCCGGAGAGGCUCAGCCCCGUCAGCCACGGAAACACCAUCGCCCUCUUCUUUCGCUCGCUGUUGCCAAACUACACCAUGGAGGUGCGUGGAGCUGGUCCCGGCCGCCCCGCCGCCUGGGCUCAGGGGGAGAGGCCGGACGACGGCGGGGCCGGGGGUCUGAACCCCGACCAGGGCCUCAACAGGCUGAUGCUGGCCGUGCGGGACAUGAUGGCCAAUUUCCACUUCCGCGACCUGGAGGUGCCGCCGGAGGACAACCCCGAGGGCGACGGGGAGUGGGACUGAGGGCUGCGACCCGCGCCUGCCGCGCGAUGCCGCUCUUGCCUCCGUCUGGUCAGGGUUGGCCGGGUCGCGGCCGUGGAAGCGCUGACCUGUCCGCCUGCCUCUGCUGUUUCUCCUAUAAACGUGAACGGGUUACGCUCUGC